UACGUAGGGGGCUAGCGUUGUCCGGAAUCAUUGGGCGUAAAGAGCGUGUAGGCGGUCCGGUAAGUCCGCUGUGAAAGUCGGGGGCUCAACCCUCGAAUGCCGGUGGAUACUGUCGGGCUAGAGUGCGGAAGAGGCGAGUGGAAUUCCUGGUGUAGCGGUGAAAUGCGCAGAUAUCAGGAGGAACACCUAUUGCGAAGGCAGCUCGCUGGGACGUAACUGACGCUGAGACGCGAAAGCUAGGGGAGCAAACAGG
Molecule: ribosomal RNA, 253 nt
Filed under: uncultured bacterium
Lineage: Bacteria
Description: partial 16S ribosomal RNA
Rfam family: Bacterial small subunit ribosomal RNA
Source: RNAcentral